AUUUGGGGAAACUCUGAAUCUUUUGUUUUCUAAAGAAAAUAUGGUCAAGUUCAAAGAUAAAAGAUCUUGAAGCUCAGGCUUCAAAAACCCAUGGGUCAAAACCAGAACAGGCCAUGGAUUUAUGUCACAAAGAUUUAUGAGUACUCUUCAGACUAUUUUCCACUUCAUCCCUGAAUGAAGGGUGAUCGUCCAUGAAAACUGCUUAAAGUGAGCAGGCUGGCCCGCGUCCCCUCUGACUUGUCAUGUCGGCUGUAUGCUCAUCAUGGCAGACCAUUUACUGACAGCAGACUUCAAAGGAGUGAGCAAAUGUCUGUUUUUAUACAGCACGACAAAAAUGUACUGGACCAUUUUGAGUCCCAGUAUAGAUACAAGUAACGUGUCUUUGCAUACCAGUGCCAAGUACUAAUCCAAAACCUGUGUCAGACUAAUUAAUUGAUACAUUUUAUCUCACACUGUGAAGAAGAAUCAGAUUCUCCUUUUCAUGUUAUAGGGGUAGGAUCAAAUAUUAUAUGUUACAAUAUACUGUAUUUGUCUUGUGAUACAAAAUAAUGAUAUAAUGGUGUAAAACACAAAAUAUUACUGACAAGCCAUGCAGAAAAAAAACAUUGGCGGUGCCUACCAAAUGAAUAUGGGUAAACUUAACUAACUCACAGCAAAGAAAAAUAAAAACAAGAAACUGUGAGUGAGUAAACACAUAAUUCAAAUAUGAGGGUGGGUUUUAAUAACAUAACUUCUUCAGACUGAAGAAGACACAUGUUUGGAAUACACAUGACUAUUCUUACAAUUAAAAAAAAUAAACUUAAAAAACAAAAAAUAGAGCUCCAAGAUUCAUAAAUAAUCAGGGCACACUACAGUAGGCGGCACAUACUGAUGAGUAUUAAGUUAGAACCCAAUCUUUUCUCACCUUCAAUGCACACGCAUACACACACAUUAGACUUACUUGUAUGCAUUAAUAUGAGUGUCAUUAUGUCACAGUAAAUCACUCUGUCAUUAAGCCUCAUAUCACCUUUCCUUCAGAUAUACUGAGAAAGAGAUUUAAUUACCACACAUACACACAGCCACAGGUAGAAACAUAGAGCAAAAUUUAAUUAUCUCACACACGCACGUAUACACACAGGCCCACAGACACACACACACAGACAGAGCAAAGAAGUGGUACACCUUGAUUUCAGUAAAAUGAUGCUGAACUGAACAUAAAACAACCUUAAGUGGCAGAUCUCAGAUGUACAUAAUGCACAGUGUGACACACACACUCUCAAGGACACAGGCAGGCCACUCACGAUAAUUGCAUUAUCCACCUAUCAUAUAAUAUGGACAUAACCUCAGUAAGUUUAGCUGAAGUGAAUUGAAUGCAUGUUCUCUUAGAUCAAAUGUUAUCUGCAUUUUAAGCACCAGGGAAUGAACAGCAGCAUUUUCAGUACUAUUAAAUGUCCUUUUUUUUACAGCCAGAUUAACAGAAAAAAACAAUAUUGUGUCACUGUCAUUUCUGGCUUCAGCGAAUCUGUCCUCUCACCACUAUCACCGUAAGCAACGCUUAGCAGCUCAUGAUGUACACAUCUAUAUCGAUCUAUGAGGAUACUAAACUGAUAAUUAGAAAGAACAUUAGGUAAAAACGAGAUUUUAAAAACACAAUUUAUCAAGCCAAAAAGUCCAUCAUAUCCCUUUCAGCAC
Long non-coding RNA from Astatotilapia calliptera (eastern happy), 1671 nucleotides. The record is from Ensembl. Lineage: Eukaryota; Metazoa; Chordata; Actinopteri; Cichliformes; Cichlidae.